Molecule: ribosomal RNA, 253 nt
Filed under: uncultured bacterium
Lineage: Bacteria
Description: partial 16S ribosomal RNA
Rfam family: Bacterial small subunit ribosomal RNA
Source: RNAcentral
UACAUGGGGUGCAAACGUUGUUCGGAAUUACUGGGCGUAAAGGGCUCGUAGGCGGCCAACUAAGUCGGACGUGAAAUCCCUCGGCUUAACCGGGGAACUGCGUCCGAUACUGGAUGGCUUGAGUUUGGGAGAGGGAUGCGGAAUUCCAGGUGUAGCGGUGAAAUGCGUAGAUAUCUGGAGGAACACCGGUGGCGAAGGCGGCAUCCUGGACCAACACUGACGCUGAGGAGCGAAAGCCAGGGGAGCAAACGGG